AGGUAUUGGGGCUCAGGAAAGAUGCGUAGGAGGACCUGUCGGGCAACCGUCUGCUUGUACUUUAGAGAAUGGAAGAAGAGGUCGUUGGGAAAAAGAAAAGGGGGGGAGGGGUUGGGAAAGGAACGUUUAAGAAAAUCCCAGUGCUCCGAAAAGAGGGAAGACAGGCUUGAGGCGCGGCUCUUUAGGGACCCCCUACCCCCCGCCUAGGUCUUUGUCUUUUCUAAAAAUCCACUACUUUGUGAAGAGGGUUCAGGGGAAGGUACUGGAUCUUUUAAAUUUUUAUUUGAAAAAUAUCGAAGACUUUAGGGGAAAAUAAAAUACCUUCAUCUCCUGCUUCCCGAGGUCUGGAUUUUAAGGUCUGCCCCCACUUGGUCACAAUCUCACUCCCGCACUUCUCCUUGCCCAGCCGCUCUCCUUUGCCUUCUGGCUUGUAGUUCGGAUAGUUUAAUGCACCUCAGAAUCACCUGGAGGGCUUGAGAAAAUGAAGAUUUCUGGGCCCACCCACAGAGUUUCUGAUUCAGGGUGUUGUGGGUGGGGCCUGAGAAU
RNAcentral lists this long non-coding RNA (546 nucleotides) under Equus caballus (horse). Its description in RNAcentral is "lncRNA (ENSECAG00000045470.1)". Lineage: Eukaryota; Metazoa; Chordata; Mammalia; Perissodactyla; Equidae. The record is from RNAcentral.